This 29-nucleotide non-coding RNA is filed under the name Homo sapiens (human). Lineage: Eukaryota; Metazoa; Chordata; Mammalia; Primates; Hominidae. The record is from RNAcentral.
UGGCACUGUGAAAACUGACUAAUACCUCA